This 217-nucleotide small RNA is filed under the name Arabidopsis thaliana (thale cress). Its description in RNAcentral is "ATSL002590". Lineage: Eukaryota; Viridiplantae; Streptophyta; Magnoliopsida; Brassicales; Brassicaceae. The record is from RNAcentral.
UAACCGGGUUAUAGAUUUAAUUGUCUAACAGUUAGAGUUGCCACAAAGGAUUCUCAGAUACUUCGAGACCAAAAAUUAAACUGAGAGAUGUUGGGACCCACAGUAAAGUGGGAACCCUCCAAAAAUAGGCGUAUGCCACUUAGCGUGGAGAGCACACGGUAUUCUUUAGUAAAAGGCGAAAGAAUAGUUCGCUAUGUGCUCACCACAUGGCUGCGUG